This 868-nucleotide ribosomal RNA is filed under the name Mastocarpus papillatus. RNAcentral describes it as "LSU rRNA". It matches the Rfam family "Eukaryotic large subunit ribosomal RNA", at positions 1259 to 2168 of the family's 3401-position model. Lineage: Eukaryota; Rhodophyta; Florideophyceae; Gigartinales; Phyllophoraceae. The record is from RNAcentral.
AGUCGGAAUCCGCCAAGGAGUGUGUAACAACUCACCUGCCGAAUGAAUUAGCCCUGAAAAUGGAUGGCGCUUAAGCGGGCGGCCGACACCUUGCCGUCUGGACAAGAAUUUCAGAUGAGUAGGAGGGCGUGGCGGCCGUGUCGAAGCGCGCGUGCAGACGCGUGUGGAACGGCCGCUAGUGCAGAUCUUGGUGGUAGUAGCAAGUAUUCAAGCGAGAUCCUUGAAGGGCGAAGUGGGGAAGGGUUUCACGCGAACAUUGAUUGGGCGUGAGUGAGUCGUUCCUAAGCCGAGUGGCAAUUGCUAAUUAACGGCGAAAGGGAAGCGGGUUGACAUUCCCGCACACGGAUGUGGAGGCGGCGACGCAUUAUUGGGGCGAACACGCUGGCGGUGGCGCUGGGCAGAGUUGUCUUUUCUGUUUGACCGCUUGCGCACGCAGUGUGGAAUCCGCUUGUCGGGAGAAACACGCGUGUCCGGGCAGAGCGCUGGGGCUUUUCCAGCGUCCAGCUCGCCACCGACGGCCCUUGAAACUUUGCCUGCUGAUUUAAGAUCCACGCCGUGGCGUACCGAUCACCGCAUCAGGUCCCCAAGGUGAACAGCCUCUGCUCAAUAUGAAAAAUGCAGGUAAGGGAAGUCGGCAAAUUAGACCCGUAACUUUGGGAAAAGGGUUGGCUCUAGUGCUGCGUGGGAGUGGUUGUCGGAUGCUGGCGUUUUUAGCGUGGCGGCCUGGCGCGGGGCCUCUUCGUAGGACCUGUUCCAGCUGCUAUGCCGAUGGCGCCACAGCCGACGACGCCCACAGCAUGCAGCAGACUAGAACUGCAACGGGCAAAGGGAAUCCGACUGUUUAAUUAAAACAAAGCAUUGCGAGGGC